GUCCCCUCGUGACCCUCGAAUAACUGGACCUACUGGACGGGUCAAGUGGCGCCCGACGUGGAGCACGAGGUACAACCACCCUUCGGACAACGGAUUAAAGAGGUACCGCGCAGACAGUGAGACAGUGGGACAGUCCCCUGCCACUUCGCUCGAGUGUCGCGGAUGGACGUCGGGAGAAAAACUCUGGCAGCUUGGCUACACUAGGAAAAAAUGGGCAUCUUUCAAGGGAAGAAACAGCUCCAAGGAUGAAAGAUCCUAUGGAGACCACUACAUAGAAGCACACCAAUCAAAAUGAAAAGUUUAGAGUCUGGAAUCAAUGGAUCCAUUUCCAAAACAUCCCCAGGAUGAAGGCUCAGGGAAUACUGUGGAAGAUGGGAAGGAAGAAUGGUGAAAGCCAGAGGAGCAAGCUCUUAUGCUUUGAUUUUGUGCCUCCUAAGAAUCUCAGAAUCUCUACUCAUGAAGUCUGACAAAAAUAAUUGUGAGCUGCACAAGGACAAUAAUAAUGUAUAUUUCCAUGUGGCCUAAAAUCUACACAAAGAACUAUAUCCCAAAUCCAGCAAUAUACAACACAGUUGGCUAUACAGAUUUUAACAAAUGCACAGUAGCAUCAUUAUAGCCUCUUACAAAGUUGGUUUGCUACUCUAACAAUUGCCUUGGCAUUGCAUCCAUUACCAGGGUUGCUCAACAAGAUUACACUGCCAUUGGCCAGUAAAGAGUGCAGAGAUAAGCCACUCCUUAGAUGGUUUCAGGGUACAGCAUCGGUUUGAUUGUACAUGAGCAACUACUUAUUAUAGUGGAAGCCUAUUCAUGUCCUAUUGUGAGUGAAUAGCACAAUACCCUCUAUUGGAGAGUGAGUACUCAUACCACCAGGAACUCUUCAGGAAAAAAUACAGAAAAAAAAGGACACUUGAAAAAUGCCCACACAUCAGUAGGCCAGCUGCAGGCUAUUCACAUUACUUCAGAAUACGGACUUCUGAGAAUACUCAGGAACAUAGUGUGCCAUGCUUAUUCUGAGAAAUGCAGUGUGCAGGUAGGCUGACUGCCAGAUCGUGCCUGCAUUUUCUUCUAUCCCAGCUGUUCCAUCUAAGUAUCGUUUUCUUCCCACCACCUUGGCAAUCAGGAUGUGGAUGUUGUGGUUCAUGUCAUUUAGUUAUCCUUUUCCGAGAAUGUUAUGUAUUUGUAAUGAUACAGUUUUUCAGAAUAGUUUUGUUAACUUACAGAAAACUAUUUCAAUUCUUGCUUACCUUCUCAUAGAUUGAUUGCUUAUUUAUUUAGCAAUAAAUAUCAUGGUGUAGUCUGGA
Mus caroli (Ryukyu mouse) is the source of this 1301-nucleotide long non-coding RNA. RefSeq lists it as uncharacterized. NCBI's taxonomy places the organism in Eukaryota, Metazoa, Chordata, Mammalia, Rodentia, Muridae. The record is from RefSeq and is a predicted model, not a curated record.